ACUCCUACGGGAGGCAGCAGUGGGGAAUAUUCAUAAUGGGCAGGCAAGCCUGAUGCAGCCAUGCCGCGUGUGUGAAGAAAGGCCUUCGGGUUGUAAAGCACUUUCAGUCGUGAGGAAGGUGGUAGUGUUAAUAGCACUAUCAUUUGACGUUAGCGACAGAAGAAGCACCGGCUAACUCCGUGCCAGCAGCCGCGGUAAUACGGAGGGUGCGAGCGUUAAUCGGAAUUACUGGGCGUAAAGCGCAUGCAGGUGGUUUGUUAAGUCAGAUGUGAAAGCCCGGGGCUCAACCUCGGAAUAGCAUUUGAAACUGGCAAGCUAGAGUACUGUAGAGGGGGGUAGAAUUUCAGGUGUAGCGGUGAAAUGCGUAGAGAUCUGAAGGAAUACCGGUGGCGAAGGCGGCCCCCUGGACAGAUACUGACACUCAGAUGCGAAAGCGUGGGGAGCAAACAGGAUUAGAUACCCUGGUAGGCUCU
This 473-nucleotide ribosomal RNA is filed under the name uncultured bacterium. Its description in RNAcentral is "bacterial SSU rRNA". It matches the Rfam family "Bacterial small subunit ribosomal RNA", at positions 335 to 798 of the family's 1533-position model. The record is from RNAcentral.